Long non-coding RNA from Heterocephalus glaber (naked mole-rat), 5938 nucleotides. RefSeq lists it as uncharacterized. Lineage: Eukaryota; Metazoa; Chordata; Mammalia; Rodentia; Bathyergidae. The record is from RefSeq and is a predicted model, not a curated record.
GCGCGGGCCCUCUCCCUGCCGCCGGGCGGAACCGGGCGCUGCUGCUGUCCCCGCCGGGUUCGCGCCCGCAGCCUUCGAUCGGGAGAACGGCGAUGCUGCGCCGGGUCACGGAAUCUCCUGCCCCGGGGCCGUGGAAACUGCAACUCUCGUCGGAGCAGCGCGGGCCCAGACUGGCAGCCAGAUGUGGACAGCCCGCUGCGUCCCCCACCCCGCCCAAGGCAAAGAGCUCGGCGUCCUGAGGGUCUUGUAAAAGCGGGGCAGAAAAAGCCUUUUGGGUGCCCUGAAAGUACACACGAAACUCUCAGUCUAGGAAAGGAGAUCGAAUGUGAACAUGAACUGUUUACAAAUGACACAAAGAGAAACUGAGAGAAAUGCAAAGAAAAAUUCAGGAAUUACUAUCCUUCUGCAGGUGACCCCAAAUGUAACUCUGAGUAACAGCGGCCUGCACCCUAGCCUGUCUUCGGCAUUGUUUGUGCUGAAAGUGGAAAACGAUGUUUGGUAAUGGUCUCACAUCUGCAUACGUUCUCUUCAUCCGUGACCUUCCAAGGAAGAAAGAGAAAGAUCAACCCUGCAGUCAGGGAAGCACCAGCUGUGAGCAAGAGGAAGCUAGAACAGCAGAUUCUGGCCAAGCGGGUGCUCCUAGAAACUAACUGCGGGUACUCAGGACAAAUCGCCUAUGAGAACAGCCCCCGGCCACCUGGGAGGCUGGUGCAGAGACCGCCGGCAGAGGUGGGUUCGAGUCACACCAGAGAGGAAUGGGCGGCAAUGGGUCGGACAUGGACCAUUCAAAGGGAAAUGAUAACAGCAGAACCCCAAGAGCACAAAUCCCCACUUCAUCUUGGCCUGUAUCUUAAACCCUCUUUCUUUCCCACAAACUUCAUUUUUAAAAUUCUUCCAUUUGGAAGUCAUUUACUGAGCGCCUAGCUCUAAGGCACUACAUGGGGCACUGGGGAGAAUACGGAUAUAAACAGUGGUUCCCUCUACCCAAACUGUUCACGACACAGCAGGGUGGACACAUCCACAACUAACAGGCUAAAGUGUGCUCUUGGAUGAUAAGGGCUGGGUGAAAAAGAAAAGCGACAGUACCAAAGAGCAAGGCACCUGGCAUUCUGCGGGGACGCUGUAAAGCGGGUUCACCGAGCACUGGCGACCAGUCCUUGGGGAGGACUCUGACCGCGUAAAGAACAGCAAAGACCACCACUAUGGCACGCACCGGAAGUAGGAGUCCGAAUACCCGCCCACUGCAUCCCGGAUGCAGGAGUAAGACUGGACACUCACAGUCACUUUUCACCAGAGUUAAGCAGCAAGGAAAACAGAAGCCCAGGAUUCGUGAUGAGCUGCUCCUCCAAGCUCAGGAAAGAUCCUGGGGUGGGCGGAGUCUUGUCUGCGCAUGCUCCAUCCGGCAGAGCAGCCGAAGCCCCCCUGAAUCGCUCUGCUCUUGAGUCUUCUACCCUGCGAGCCGCCUGAAAUUGGUGAGCUAAAGGGCGCACGAUAUGCUCUUCUGCGGGGACAGGGACAGAAGCCAGGAUGUUCCGGAUAGUUCUUCCUUAUUUCAAGAGGUUGCGUUCCCAGCACUUUCUGCAGUUAUUCUGAGAACCACAGAUGAGAAAGGGGAGAAGAGCUGGGUCCAUGCAGCCCUCCUCCCUGGGGCCCAUCUUCUCGGCUGGUGGUCAAGAUGCACUUGUUCACAGACAGGAGGGUGCCUUGGGCUUGAAAUUGCAGGCUGAGUGUCCUUUUCUUUAAGCAGCAGGUUUAUAAUGGCCCAAAGAGAGCCAGAGCCAGAGGAGGAAAGAGAAGGGGACAAAGCCAAGGGUCAGCUCUCCUUGUCUCACCAUCUUCUGGCUCCGGGACUCUGCCUGCCAGGCAGUUCCAUGCAUCCAUGGGGUCACUGGCUAGGAUGAGUAACAAGUCUUUGCUAUUUAAACAUGGGGUAUGGCCCUUCAUCACACUCUUGAUCCAGAGCCCAUGCACGUUAGUGGUGACUCUAUUGAAUGCUUCUCAAAGUGCGUCCUGAGGAGUACCCGCUGCACCAUUCACGUGGGUUGUUUGUUUCAAAUGCAAAUUCCCAGGCCUCCUGCCACCUCCCUAAAUCGGACUCUUCAGGGAAGGGACCCAGGGGUUCGCCUUCUAGCAAGUUCCCCCGAUGGUUCUGAUCUACACCAGUUUCGGGAACACUUGAGCUGGGGAGGAGGGGAGAGGGCCUGGCCCUAGUGAGCAGGAGGCUUUAGGGGAGAAGAGAGGAAGUCGGCCAGGUGGGGGGAAGACCCUGGCAGUGGCCUCCAAGUGCUUCCUCAAGACCGCGUUAGCCCUCUUCACCCCCUGGCUCUGGCCGCGUCCUGGGAGUCGGCUGCAGAGAGACGCAUUCCGCCCACACAGAGCAAGAGCAUCCUUGCACCAGGGUUUUUGUGGGUGGCCCUGCAGAAGGAAGUGUCCCGUCAACACGAAAUAGAGACCAGAAGGAACAACAGGAGACUCAAUGUCAAUGUGGGACUCGGGCUGAAGUCACUGCAAGAGAUCGGGCAGGUUCCCAGCCCAGGAAGCCCCACACGCAGCAGUUGGAGCCAUGUGUCAGAGUGGUGCCUGGCCAGUGACGUCUAAGUCCCCGAGAUUCCCCGUGAAUAUCUCCUGAAUCAUACGGCCCAGCUGCGCAAAGGCGGUAGACGAAGGAGAACCCACCUGUCAAGACCACAGCCUGGGACUCACGCCUGUUCUUAAGGAAACUUCCAGCGACAGCUGUGCUGUACUAAAAACUCACCACUAGGGGGAAGCAGACUCCAAGCAUCCAUGUGAGAAAAGAGCAGACUAGAAGGUGGCCCAGGAAGCCAACAAGGGGCGGGAGGGGCCUGACCUCAGGUGCACCCUCCACAUCCACGCUAUCCCACACACACGUGCACACACACGCACACACGUGCACAUGCAACGCAAUACAUUCUUGCUCGAAUCACCGGGUCCUUUGUUCAUUUAGUUCCCUGGUCCUGUGCAGGACAGUGCAUCUUCCACAGGGCAAAAGCCACUGGUUCUCAAACUUGGCUACAUAUUCAAAUCACCCGCGGGAAUCAGCACUUUAAAACCCCACAGGAGAUCCCCUCUUGGAGCUGAGUUUGAGAACCCCUGUGUUAAGGGGAAGAUCCCCUUUCUUCCCAAAUGGAGGCUGGUUUUCAUGGCCUCCCGCACUAGUCGCUCCUCCACCCAGGCAUGCCGUCUCUAGUGGAUGCCAGAGCUCUUCCUCCCUCAGUGUGCCCAGAUCACCCAUGCAAGUUGUUAACUGCACAGAGCACACACAGCGAGGCUUCCCUCGUCGCACCCUGCGCUUCUGCCCUUGUGUCUCUGCUGCCACUCUCUAGCUGUUCUGAUGUCCUCUUCUGCUUUUGCAUGAGCCCUGCUUCUAGCUGCUGUACACUUGAUGCCUUAACGUCGACCCUGCGUGCAUAUGGCAGACGCACCUCGCUCCCGGCAACCCGACAGUACGCCUGAGUUGCCUUUGCCCUCCUGUUUGGGAGGCGUCCUCCUGAGGCAGGAAGUAGAGAGGAAGAGUUCCUGGGCAGAAGAGUCUCCAAAAGGAGAUGAGAGGAAGCUGGCUCUCCAGAAGCUACAGGGUGCCAGGUCCUGAUGACUAGACCACAGCUGUGAAAGGCAAGAGGGUGCGUGUGCCACAGGGCCCUGCAGGGGGCAAGAGAAGCCCUCUAGAAACCAAGGAGCACCCAUCUUCUUAAAUGUGCAUCACCGAGUGUCCCAAACAACCAAAUGGCCCUGACUCAAUUAUAAUUAAUUAUCUCACACUGUAGUUUUGAUAUCCCCCACCAUGGGCUUUGGGCGCCAUGACAAUUCCUCACAGGUCCAUUUGGAGCAAAACUCCCCCUCCAGCAGAGAGGAGGAGACCGGUCCCUGGUUGGAGUCAAUUGUCUCGCCAGCUCAAAGAGCUCAUUCUUCCCUGUAAAAACCACGUAUAGGCUCUGGCACCUGGCUGGCACCCUCCAGGCUGUGAAGUCCCACCCCGAGGAGUGUAUCCUGACUAAUCUCUGCUUUCACUUCCACUACUCUGUGUCCCGCUGAGUUCUUUGUUUGGAUACCAGGAACUAGGAUAGUCACAGCCCCAACAACACUCCAUUUUAAAAACCCAAACCCACAAAUCAGAUUCCACACCUAACCACCGUCACAUAUCCACUUCUCACACUCCUCCUAUUCCUAAUUACUCAAAGCACUGGUCAAGCAGCCCUGCUGGAGUGAUGUACACUAGCCAACACUAACAUUGCUUAUCUCACUCUCCCUUUCCAGGGAAAGCACAGUAAAAUCUCUUGCAUGGUUUAUUUCCUCUCUGUCUCUUGACAGGCUCUUCUUAGCCUCCCUAUGUGGCCCCUGUGGCAGGACAGGACCCUUCUCUUGGGAUCUGUGAGCAUCAAACUGGCCCUUCAAUGGCAGUCAUCUCCUGGCCCAUGAGCCUCACCACAGUUGAAUAACAAUGAAACCUAUUGUGAAGGUUAAGCUUGACUGUGUCAACUUAAUUGGCUUGGGUGCCACUCGGAGAGUUGGUGGAGCACAUUUCUGGGUGUGCCUGGGUGAGCCAUAGAAACAUGAUCUUGGCUACUGUCUGGACCCUCGCUCCUUCCUCUCUGGUACUGUUCUCCUGCUCUGUUUCCCAGGUACCAUGAACACUCACUGCACCCUUCUGCCAUGAUGUUUCUGCCUUUCAUCCAACUGCUCAUGGACUGACUCCCCUUAACCCAUGAGCCAAAUUAAACCUCCCCUCUGAGGUAUGCAUGUCAGGAUUGUGUCUCAGCAAAGAGAAAGCUGACUAAUACACCUACUAAGUCAGCUUUCUUGCUGGAGUGGGGCAGUGGUUGAUUCCCCCUGUAUCCUGAGUCUCAUGCCGUUUCUAUCUGGUCCCCACUACACUGCCCAGUGUGAACACAUGCAGACAGGAGCUCAGUUAGUGACCUGAAAGAAUAAAAGAAUGUAGUCAGGAAGCUCCGAGUUUGAGACCUGGCUCUGCCACCUACCAGGUGUGAGAACUCGACCACGUGGCACAUCCCGAGACUCAGUUAUCUCUCUUGUUUAAUCUAGCCUGUAAUUUCACAGAGACCAAGUGGGGCAACAUGCAUUAAAGUCCUUUGUGGCUGACUUCGUAGCACCUUCCUUUCUCUCUCGCCUACUUGUCAACACUGCCUGAGAUUCUACCCUUGCCCUUUCCGUGCUCCCUGGAGUUCCUAUCAAUUCUUGAGUUUUCCAAUCUCUACCUUCAGCUUUUACAGUCUGAGUGUUUGUGUCAUCCCCCAAACUCAUAUGAUGAGAUUCUCACAUCCAAGAUGAUGGCGCUGGGAGGUGGCCCUUGGGAGUGAUUAGAUCUUGAGGGUGGAGACCCCAUGAAAGGGAUUAGUGCCCUAAUAAAGAAAGCCCCAGAGAACUGCCUCCUCCCUUCUCCCACAUCGUGACCCAACAAGGAGGUACUGUCUGUGAAUCAGGAAACAGGUUCUUGCCAAACACUGAAUUGGCCAGCAACUUGAUCUUAGUCUUCUCAGCCUCCAAAACAGCGGUAAAUCUCAUGGUUUAUGUGUUAACAGUUUAAGGCAUUUUGUCAGCCUGAAGAGACUAAGACAUGAGCUCACACUCCUCUCUUGAGCUCCAGGUAUGUCCAAUCAGAUGCCCACAGGACAUUUCCAUCUCCUUGACCCACUUGUGGGACAUAUUUCUUGCACUUCUCAAACCAGCUCCUUCUCUUCUCUAUUCAAUCGCUGUUCACUCCCAGAAGGGAAGUGGUAAUGAGGAGGGAAGAGGGGAUCCAGGGGACCCAGAUGAUGGAGUAUAAUAAGUCGGCAGAGACCACAAGGCACUUUGGGGCUAUAGGUCAUAAGUCCCGUUGCAGCAAAGCCAUAGCAUUCCAGGAGGGGGCAGGGAGAGAGAGGUGCCCAGGGGGCUCUGACCUGUGCAGUGGGGCUUGGCU